AUCUCUUUCUACUUAGUAAUUGUUUUUGCUGGCUUUAAUGUCACAGCUCCAGUGUUCCUUCAGACAUUGUGCCCUGCAACAGCACUUGCAGCUCCUGUGCUGGGCAGGCAGCAGUUCUGCUGUGGGAAAUGGACUUGUAGAAAAUUGUCAGAGUUUGACAGAAGGUUUACAUAGUAUGUAUCUGAAUGGAAAAUUUGAGAUAAGAAAUGCUGACUUAGAAAUGCCAUGGAAUAGGACAGACAUUGUUGAGAGAGAAAUGGAACUGGAAACAAGUGUUAAAGGAUGAGUUUGUAAAUAAGACUAGAUACUUUAGAGAAAUAGAGCUAUGAAAGAUGCAUUGUAAUAAGAUUCAUGAGGGGUUGUUUUAGAUGAUUGGUUUUAAGGCAUUUACAGAAUAAUGUAGCAAAAGCUAAUGGACCAAGAAACACUUAUAAUGUGAUUAGGAAAUAGUUGGCUUCUGAUUGUGAUGGUGUGAAUUAGAACACCUGUAUUGUCUCACCCUUCAUGUGAGACUGAAAAUAGAAUAAAAGUUUUUAAAAACACUUCUCAGUUGCCCCAUCUCUGGGUCAGAAAAGGGCAUAAUCUGAUAAAUUGGUGCGUUGUGUGAGGAAGAUUUAUCUCUCUCAAUGUCCCAUUCCGUAGCAUUUCUAAGUCAGCAUUUCUUACCUCAAAUUCUGCAUACAGAUGCACACUCUGUGAGCCUUCUGUCAAGCUUUGAGAAUUCUCUACAAAUCCAUUUCCCACAUUCCGGGCAGGGCUUUCAGUCCCAUCAGUGUCCAUUUAAAUCAAGCUUGUGUCAUAUUUCCAUCAGUCUCUCUGGCCUGGCACCCUGGGUCCCAGGGGACAGAGCUGUCUCAAGGUUCAGUCCCGUCUGUACUGAGUCCUGCCAGCGUUUCCAGCAGCAGCUGCUGGAGGCACCAAGGGCUGCCCUUGGAGCCUGGCUCUCCCCUGGGCUUUUACAGAGCGUUACCAACUCUGCCCUUCAGGAUCCAAUGGUUAUUUUGAACACUGAUCCUACAGCUGGAUAGUUCAGCUGGCAGGGAUUGGAGUCUGCUCUUGGGCCCAAAACAGGGUUUGUCCCACAAAGGUCGACUGAACUUCCUGAGAUGGCACACAGAUGAUGCCCUGGACUUUGGGGCCAAUAGCGUUGCCAGGUGAUUAUUGUAAGGUUGAACUGAUCUUAUGGUUGAGAGCUGCAUCUCCCCUGCUGCUGGCAGAGGAGGCAGAGCUGGGACAGGGCAGCUCCUCCAUUCCUUGGCUCCACCAAAUGCCUUUUUUCUUCCCGGGGCUGCUGCGGCCACGGGUUCCCUAAGUUACAGAUAAGAGUUGUGCUGACCUUGGAAUCUUGGAGGAAAGCUGGGCUGGAAUGUGGCAGGAGGUACUUCAUGUGGAAUGUGUUCCUGAGGGUGUUACAAGUGCCUGGCUUUUCUGUGGGAAGUUUUAUGGAGGAUAUUGUUACAAGAAAAGCCAUUGAGGUAAUGAAAAUCUGUGGAGAACGGGUGGUUGGUACACUAGGUGGGAAAUGCCAAAUCCCAGAGCAAUUCUGUGUCUGUAGCAUUAAGUGCAACAUCUUUAAAGCCAAGUGCUCAGUGUGGGCUUUUCACGUGGAUGCAAACGGUCCCAAAGCCGUUCCUGUGCCCCAAAAGCCAGAAGAAGCCUGCCAGAAGCAGCCUUCACUGCCUGUCUGGGAUUUCAGUUUGCUGCUGGAGCCUUCCCUCCAUCUUCCCUCGGGUUCUGACCCCGGAGCCACACAGGGCGUCUGUUGCCUUGGACAGGAGAAAUCAUUAAGCUCCUCCCAUCUUUGCCAGAAGCUUCAGUGUUUAAGCAGCCAGAGCCAAGAGGCUUCAGCACCAGGGGUGUGCACUGGAGGGCUCCUGGUCCUGCCCACGCUGUGGGGGAGCCAGGGCUGGCACAAGGACUCGUGCAGGUGCUGCUCUGGCACUGGAGCUGUUGCCCUGUGGAGCCAUUUUAAAGGUGUGAUUAUGGAACAUUUUGGAGGCUGUUUCUGGAAUUCCAUUUGUAGCUGGAUCUCGCUCCGAGUGCAGCAGUCCAGGUGAGGGUUCUGACCUCUCCAGACUUGUGCUCACCUUGGUACAGCCCGGGGCUGGAGCAGUUUUCCAGGGAAGUGGAGAUGGCUGAGGAUGGGUGCUCUGGAAAGCAGGGACCUGCUGGGAUUUGCAUUUGCAAAGCUGCC
Taeniopygia guttata (zebra finch) is the source of this 2194-nucleotide non-coding RNA. The record is from RefSeq and is a predicted model, not a curated record. Lineage: Eukaryota; Metazoa; Chordata; Aves; Passeriformes; Estrildidae.